This 371-nucleotide ribosomal RNA is filed under the name Glomus sp. rp73. RNAcentral's name for it is "eukaryotic LSU rRNA". The record is from RNAcentral. Lineage: Eukaryota; Fungi; Glomeromycota; Glomeromycetes; Glomerales; Glomeraceae.
UUGAAAGGGAAACGAUUGAAGUCAGUCGUACCGACGAGAAAUCAACUUAUUGUGUGCGAACUUGUGGGCGUGCGUGAGUUUCGGCCUCGCUGUUUGCAUGUUUGUGCGUUUUGGGUGUACUUUUUCGUAUGGUAGGCCAACAUCAGUUUCGAUUACUAUAAAAUGACCGGCGGGAUGUAGCUUCGAUUUCGGUUGAAGUGUUAUAGCCUCUGGUAGAUGUGGUGAUUGGAACUGAGGAUUGCAACGAAUAUCCUUUGGGCUAUCCGUCUGAUCUCUGAAAGUUGCUCAGGUGCCGAAAGCGUGCUUACGGUCAUCUAAGUUGACGGUCAACAGGUUAGAACGUGAUUACAUUCGUUAAGGAUGUUGACGUA